Molecule: ribosomal RNA, 656 nt
Filed under: uncultured bacterium
Lineage: Bacteria
Description: bacterial SSU rRNA
Rfam family: Bacterial small subunit ribosomal RNA
Source: RNAcentral
UGGGUGAAAGCCUGAUGCAGCCAUGCCGCGUGUGUGAAGAAGGCCUUCGGGUUGUAAAGCACUUUCAGCGAGGAGGAAAGGUUAGUAGUUAAUAACUGCUAGCUUUGACGUUACUCGCAGAAGAAGCACCGGCUAACUUCGUGCCAGCAGCCGCGGUAAUACGAGGGGUGCAAGCGUUAAUCGGAAUUACUGGGCGUAAAGCGUGCGUAGGUGGUUUGUUAAGCAAGAUGUGAAAGCCCUGGGCUCAACCUGGGAACUGCAUUUUGAACUGGCAAGCUAGAGUUUUGUAGAGGGUAGUGGAAUUUCCAGUGUAGCGGUGAAAUGCGUAGAGAUUGGAAGGAACAUCAGUGGCGAAGGCGGCUACCUGGACAAAGACUGACACUGAGGCACGAAAGCGUGGGGAGCAAACAGGAUUAGAUACCCUGGUAGUCCACGCCGUAAACGAUGUCAACUAGCCGUCUGUAGACUUGAUCUGUGGGUGGCGUAGCUAACGCGCUAAGUUGACCGCCUGGGGAGUACGGCCGCAAGGUUAAAACUCAAAUGAAUUGACGGGGGCCCGCACAAGCGGUGGAGCAUGUGGUUUAAUUCGAUGCAACGCGAAGAACCUUACCAUCCCUUGACAUCCAGAGAAGAGACUAGAGAUAGACUUGUGCCUU